GACGAACGCUGGCGGCGUGCUUAACACAUGCAAGUCGAACGGAAAGGCCCUGCUUUUGUGGGGUGCUCGAGUGGCGAACGGGUGAGUAACACGUGAGUAACCUGCCCUUGACUUUGGGAUAACUUCAGGAAACUGGGGAUAAUACCGGAUAGGAGCUCCUGCUGCAUGGUGGGGGUUGGAAAGUUUCGGCGGUUGGGGAUGGACUCGCGGCUUAUCAGCUUGGUGGUGGGGUAGGGGCUUACCAAGGCUUUGACGGGUAGCCGGCAUGGGAGGGUGAACGGCGACAUUGGGACUGCGAUACGGCCCAGACUCCUACGGGAGGCAGCAGUGGGGAAUAUUGCACAAUGGGCGGAAGCCUGAUGCAGCAACGCCGCGUGCGGGAUGACGGCCUUCGGGUUGCAAACCGCUUUCGCCUGUGACGAAGCGUGAGUGACGGUAAUGGGUAAAGAAGCACCGGCUAACUACGUG
RNAcentral lists this ribosomal RNA (468 nucleotides) under uncultured bacterium. Its description in RNAcentral is "partial 16S ribosomal RNA". It matches the Rfam family "Bacterial small subunit ribosomal RNA", at positions 28 to 507 of the family's 1533-position model. The record is from RNAcentral.